CUUAUUGAUCACUCACAAUCUCCAUGCACACUUCACCAUACCUAAAAUAUGCCACACACAUCUCAAAGUGGUAUGCUAAAAAAUAAACUAAAGGAUCUAUAUACAUCAGGUACCAUGGUGAUCUCAAGUCAAAGGAUCAUAUGCACCACUCCCACUGGAGAAUCAUCUAUCGACAUGCUGUAAGGCUCCAUCAGAUGUUCUUCUUGCAGGUC
This 212-nucleotide long non-coding RNA is filed under the name Elaeis guineensis (African oil palm). RNAcentral's name for it is "long non-coding RNA (EGUI_LNC068125)". Lineage: Eukaryota; Viridiplantae; Streptophyta; Magnoliopsida; Arecales; Arecaceae. The record is from RNAcentral.